RNAcentral lists this ribosomal RNA (253 nucleotides) under uncultured bacterium. Its description in RNAcentral is "partial 16S ribosomal RNA". It matches the Rfam family "Bacterial small subunit ribosomal RNA", at positions 524 to 776 of the family's 1533-position model. The record is from RNAcentral.
UACGUAGGGGGCAAGCGUUGUCCGGAAUCAUUGGGCGUAAAGCGCGCGUAGGCGGCCCGAUAAGUCCGCUGUGAAAGUCAACGGCUCAACUGUUGAACGCCGGUGGAUACUGUCGGGCUAGAGUCCGGAAGAGGCAAGUGGAAUUCCUGGUGUAGCGGUGGAAUGCGCAGAUAUCAGGAGGAACACCAAUAGCGAAGGCAGCUUGCUGGGACGGUACUGACGCUAAGGCGCGAAAGCGUGGGGAGCGAACAGG